CGAACCAAACCAAGUCAAGAUCCAGCCCGAUCCACCAAUUCCGCUCGCUUUUGAUUUCCGCCGCCCACCCGUCCACGGAAAACCACCGCCAGCGCGGCGAAGACGAAGCCGUGUCCGGUAAGGAUCCGGUUGGCGCCAGGCCGCCCACCGCCUCCGCCUCCGCCUCCGGCUAUAAAAGGCGCCCAGGUGCGCCCUCUCCACCCCGCGCUCUCGCCUCCUCCCUCUCUCUUCGGAGCUCUCGUUUCGGGCCGCGCCUCCGCCCGAGUCGCCUCCUCGCGUCUCCGCGACUGUUUCCUUCCUCUUUCUUUCUCGUCCCUCAUCUCGAUUCGUUUCGAAUCGCCUUUGAUUUUUGCUCCGCUCCUCGCCGGCUUUGCUUCCUGUGCUCGCAGGGGAUUCGGCCCGCUUCCGGGGGUAGCGAUCCGAUCGAUCGAUCGAUGGGGGAUUCCAUCGAUUUCGCUUCCCGCGUCUGAUUCCGUGCGACCCUAGGUCAGUUUCUCGAACUCCAUCGGUCGGGUCGGGUCGGGUCGGUUCCUUGGUUCCGUCGCCUGCCUGCGUCCCUCGGUGAUUUCAGAAGAUUUGGAUUCAACGGCCGUCGCCCGUGCGGUCUCCCGGUUCUAGGUUCCCGAUCGAGUAUGUAUCAGUUAACACGAGGUCGAUUCUUUGAGGCCCUCGUGGAUUCUUACUACUUUACCAGCUGAUCCCGCUUUUGGUAUGUGUGCUCUCAUCUUGGAUACACAAGCAAGAUGGCGAGCGGUAGUUCUGAAGUGAUGGUAGGUUAUUUAGAAGGGCGGAGUUGAGGUUUGAUUUCUGUUCAUGGUUAUUUUGAUUGAUUGAUUGGUUGAUUGGCUACGGUUCAGCGGUUACUCUGUUAUGGUCAGAUAUUCUCAGGGCGAUCAAUUGGAUCUCAAUCAACCUGCAACUUCGAUCUGCACUUGGAUAACAAUAUAAAUCAAAACCUCCCAAUUCAUCUAUUUGGUUUGCACAGCGCGCAACAUAUCUGAUUUUGGUUCGUUGAUUGUUGGUUCUCCAGAAAUUGGGAUUACACGGCUAAGCGGACCGGACCGGAGCGACCUAUCUUUGGCUGAUUUGCGUUUGGAUGAAUAAUAUUACUACCUCUAUUUAAUUACUUCCUCUCCUGAGUUCAAUUUUAGCCUCCCAGCAAUUCUGAUUUCGAUUUGCUUCUCACUGUCCAGAAAUUGGGAUUACUUGGCCUAGUGGGAGCGGCUUACUAUCUUCUUGCUGACCUGUGUUUGGAUGACCCAACUCUGUUUUAAUUUCUUCUUCUCCACUGUUCAAUUAUUCUCACAACAAGUCUGAUUUGGAUUGGUUGUUGCUUGUCCAGAAACUGGAAUUACACGGGCCUAGCGGGUACUCCUAUGAUCCCUUGCCAGCAUGGCGGUUCCUAUUUCGUGGCUCAACUUUUUUGAACUUUCUUAUUACUCAAUAUCAUUAAUUAGAACUCAUCAGACAUUAGUUUUCCCUGCCUUGGUCAUUCUUAGCUCUUGCAGAUUGCAAGGGAUAUAAUUGGAACCUGUAGUUGUCUACCUGACCUUCCCAGUUGACACAGGCUUACUCAUCCAUUACCUGCUCACUCGUUUGUACCUAGUUUUCUAAUCCUAGUUUUCCCCUGACCGAAACAUUUAUAGAAAGGUACCUUGCUCGUUGCAGGUUUACGAACUCAAGGCCACCAACCUGAUGCUAAGUUUGCAGUUCUUCUAAAACCACUAUCUACUCAAUUCCUUAACUGAGAUAAUGUUAAUAAGGUCUCUUACCAGGCAAUAUUUUUAAUUCAGAUUUAGCUGCAAAAGGUGCAAGAAUGAAGUUUCAAACUAGUGGCAUAUCUUACAACCGGAGGAAAACUUAAUCUCUUACCCUCCUAUUUUUAUUUCAUUCAGCUACAUUUUCAUGUUUUUUAUUUAGGUUUUUGCUUAUGCCCUCCAUGUCGCUGCAGAUCUGUUUUGCCUAAGACAAUGCUUGUAGCAAGUCAAAAAACUUCUGGUUCGCUAUCCAUCUCUUUGUUGUUUGAUUGGUUAUAUUUGUACUCUUGAUCCCUGUGUUGGUCUUCCUAUACGUGUGUGGGUUGCACUGCAGGAUAUAUUUACGAAGUCUGGGCCUACAUAUGCAAACCUUUGCUGUGUGCAUUUCACGGUGUCAGGUACUCAGGUCAGUAACUGUUGGUUCAUUUUGUGUUGGCCUCCAUGGGUUGGUUGCUGGAUAGUAUCUGAUAUGUCGAAGGGGUUUGAGGAUUAAAUGCAUGUUGCCAGUGUGGUCUUCUAGAUCUCAUCAUGAGUUCCAUCAUAUAAUCAGCUAAUAUGAGGUGGAUUUGGGGUAUUGGUGGAUUCUCAUUGUAGCAGUUGAUCUCGCUUGUGGUCUGUGUUUGUGCUCCUUCAGAUUCAGCAGAAGCAGGAAGUGGUUCCUCAGAGAUGAACCGAAAGGGUGGAGGUUUGGUUUCUGAUAUGGUCAGAGUCUAUGUUUGGUGUUGGACUGAAGUUUUGGAUCGCUCAUCAACCUGGAACUUGAUAUCCAUGUUCAGAUGAUCCCUCUGAAUUUCACUUCAUUUGCUUUGGAUUCGUUCAGUUUUAGCCUCACAACUUUGAUUUGGAUUUGUUGCUGAUUGUCAGAAAUUGGGAUUACUUGGCUUAGUGAGAACGACGUACUAUCUUCUUGCUGACCGACCUGUGUUUGGAUGAUCAAAAUUCUGUUCAAUUCGUUCUUCUCCACAGUUUCAAUUAUUCUCCCAAGGAUUCUGAUUCGGAUUGUUUGCUGGUUAUCCAGAAUCUGGAAUUACACGGGCCUAGCGGCUGCUCCUAUUUUGGCUCAGCAUGGCGGUUCUUUUUCUGUGGCUAAACCUUUUGGACCUUCCUUAUUCAAUAUUCAUUAGAACUCAGCAGACACUAGUUUUCCCUGCCUUAGCCAUUUUUAGCUCUUGCAGAUCGUGUCUUGCAAGGGAUAAAAAUUGGAACCCGUGUUGUCUACCUGACCUUCACAGUGGAGACAGACUUACUCAUCCUUUACCUUCUCAUUCGUCUGUACUUAGUUUUCUAAUCCUACUAGUUUUCCCCUUACUGAAACAUUUAUAGAGAUGUAUUUUGCUCGUUGCAGGUCAUUGUUUACGAACUCAAGACCACCAACCUGAUAUUGAGUUUGCAGUUCUUCUAUAUCUAACAUCUUCUUAAAAUUCCUUGACUUAGAUAAUAAAAAUAAGAUCUCUUACUAGGUAAUAUUUCAAACUAAGAUUUAGCUGCAAAGGUGAAAUAAUGAAGCUUCAAACUAGUGGCACAUCCUACAACCAGAAAAAACUUAAACCUCUUGUCCUCUUAUUUCUAUUUCAUUCAGCUAUAUGUCUUCUCCGCCUUAGUCGGCAAUUCUCAGCUCUUGUAGAUACUGACAUGGAAAUGAUACAACUGCAGUUUGGAACUGGUGUUGUCGUCCGUCAACCAUAGCUGAACUUCCUAGCCGCCACAUGCUUACUUGUUCCCAGCCCAUCGUUUGAUCCAUGCUUUAGCUAUUUAUAUAAAAGUAACAUUUUCCCCUAACUGAAAAUUUAUAGAAAGGCCUCUUGCUUGUUGCAGGUUGCAGUUGAUGAACUUAAGUCCAACCUGAUGAUGAAUUCGUUUGCAGAUCUUCUAAAUCUAUGAGCAUUGUUUCAAUUCAUCAUAACUUACAUAACCUACAAAUUAUCUUACUAGGCAAUAUUUUAUAAUACAGAUAUGCGAAGGUGCAUGAAUCUAAGGACAAUCCGAAGCUUUCAACUAAUGGCACAUCCUACAACUGAAAUAGACUCCUCCUUUUUUUUACUUCAUUUAGCUACUUGGCCAUGUCUUCGAUACAAGUUUUUGCUCCUGCCCUCCUUCUGGUUGCAGAUUUUUUCUUUAGCCCAGGCCAUGUGGCUAAUGACGCAGAAUCUGUUUAAUGUUUUGAUUCGGUGUUUUCGGCACUCUUGAUCCCCGUGUUCUUUUGGUCUUCUCCGAGUGUGGGUUGCAGGAUAUAAUAGUUUGGAUUUGGUGCCCCAACCUCUGUACAUGGAGUCAGGUAAGUGUCUCGUAGACGGUCCUGUUUGUUUCAUUUGUUCUCGGCCACCUCCGUGAGUUAGCUUGCAGGACUGGAUCAGGUCUGGAAAUGAACCUCCCUAUGGUACAUGAACAGUAUUGUGAAGGGGACUUGAGGCAGGUCAGUUUCCCAUGUUUGGUCACACUGGUCUCGGUGACAUCAGAUUUGAGUGGCUAUACCUUUAAGUUCUUCGAUUUAUCUUUGUCUGAUGGCUCAACAUGAGUACUGCUAUCCCUUAAUACGAGGUGGAUUCUUGUUGGUUCUCGCUGUAACAGCUGAUCUCGCUUGUGGUAUGUGUUUGUUCUCCUUCAGAUGUAGGAGGGCGAUGGUUGUGGAGUGAUGAAUCGAAGGGUGGAGGUUUGCUUUACUGUUUGUGGUUAUUUUGAUUGGUUAUGGCUCAAUGCCUUAUGAGAAGCCAGGAUCUUGUGUGCUGAAGUUUUCGUUUCGGAUUGAAGUUGGAUUGGAUCGUUAACCAUGGAAUGGGGAUCAGAGAAUUUGCAAACUGUGUUUGGAUUAUUGACCCUCCUCAAUUUAGUUUCUUUGUUUGCACGGUCGAAUUUAGCUUACAACAUCUCUGAUAUCAACUGUUGGUUCUCCAGCUAUUUGACUUUUGGGACUUCCCGGAAGGUGCCUCUUGGUACAUCAUGUUACAGGCGGUUUCUUAGAUUGACUUCAUCUUUCCUGAUUCGCUUUGAACGUUAUAUUUCUAAGACAUGGUUUUCUCUUCCCUUGGUAACCAUGUGUCCUUGCAGAUAUUGUGACGAGAGAUAAUAUAGUUUGCUAUCUGGAACUGGUGUUGUUGCCUAACUGAUCUCUCCCGGCCAAGCAGGCUUAUCCUAUCCCCUCACUGUUUGAUGCAUUAUUUAGCUGUUUAAGAAGCUUCGUUUCCCCAAAGCAAAAAUUCACAGGAAGGUCUCCUGUCAUUGCAGAUCCUAAUUGAUGAUUUAGGCCCAACCUGUUGCUGAGCUAUCUGUUCGAAAAUCUUCUAAACACUACACCUUUCCAAUUCAUCGUAAUUUGUUCCAACAUACUCCUAUAAACUAUCUUAUGAAGACAAAAUUUGAAUAUUCAGAUUGAUUUGGUGGAUGUACAAGAUUCGAAGGUUGCUCUGGAGCUUCAAUGUAGAUGGGACAUCCUACAACCGAAAAAACUCAGUGCUCUCUAUUUUUAUCUCCUGAAGAAACUUCUGUUGUCUAAGUUCCUUUUCGCAUGUAGCAUUGAUGGUGAUUUUUUGCUUCCGCCUUCCUGUAGUUGCAGAUUGUUUAGCGCAAGCCAUGCUGGUAACCAGUCAAAAUCUGUCAUCUUUUUGGUUUGUGAUCUCUCUGGUUUACUUUGUUAUAUCCCCAAUCCAUGUGUUUCCGUUUUGUUGGCCUGCUAGGUUUGUUGUUUGCAGUAUAUGUUGGAAUUAGUGGAUGUUCCCUGUAUUUAGAGUCAGGUCAGUGUCUGGUCUGCCUUCAUUGCAAAAUAAGCCCCGUUCUCUCUUCUUCAAUGGCUAAUCAAUGAUUCUGUUUGUCACGUAGUACAAGGUGAAUUUUAUCUCAUUCAUGGUAUAUGCGCCUUUAGAGACAAACCAGCGGAGAUUGUAUUGGCUGUUCCCUUUAGCUCAUCAGAUGAUAUCUUAAGUUCAGGAUCGGAGUUGUUGGUCAGGCCUGCACGGUUGAGGAUUCAAAUGUGUCUCGAAGCGUGACUGAACUGUCUGGAUAUAUUCUCCUCCUAUUUGAUAUCUCCAUAAGUGGAGAGUUCUAAAGGCUAGUUUGGAAGCUUCGUUCUGGAUGAAGGAGUCCUCUACAACCACAUAAUCUUACACUUAGAUUCCAUACUUAUUUCCACUCAUUGCCAAGAUUUCAUUAUGGACUUUCGUUGAAGAAAUAUUAAGUAUGACGACUAUAUUUUGAGCUGUUCAUUGAUUUGCAGUGGUGGAAGUUUUAUUGCAAGAUUGUAGAGUUGGAAAUUCGGCUAGUGCGGGGACUUGCUGAAGCUAUCAAAUUGGUUUGGACUUCUGAUUAGUGAUACUGAAGCAUAUUACGUUAUUUGGUCUUUGUGGUAGUUUUCAAUUUGAACUUGCACUCGGUGGCCUCAUCUCUUUGGCGCAGCUUGGAGUUGGUAGUGUGCACAUCUGAUUCUUUCAACUGUCAUGAAGCAUCUUACUUGGUUUCUGUUGUGUGACAUCUUGCUGAUUAUGGUAUCUGCUUCAACUUGCAUGUGGUUUUGAUGGAAUAUGAUGUCAUCUUUUGGUCCGAAUCAAGAAAAUGCUAGAAGUCUCAAACAAGGGUCCGGAAUGGAAAUAUCAGUUCAUACUCAGUUUGUAUAGCAGAUUAUCAAAUUUUGAUUUGGCUAUAAAUUACUUGGUUACCAUACUGUUUCAGGAAGUUAGGCUUUGACAUUUGGCUGCUUGUAUCUUUGAACUUGCAAAUUUAUCACCUAUGAUAGGAAGUAAAGAUCGCAUGUACAUGAGCUCUGAAUGCAGUAAAAAUGUUCAUACAUUUAUAUAUGAAUUGGUCAUACUUGGA
Molecule: RNA transcript, 6560 nt
Organism: Hordeum vulgare subsp. vulgare (domesticated barley)
Lineage: Eukaryota; Viridiplantae; Streptophyta; Magnoliopsida; Poales; Poaceae
Gene name: SOSS complex subunit B homolog
Exons: 2
Source: RefSeq, a predicted model, not a curated record